RNAcentral lists this transfer RNA (32 nucleotides) under Pinguinus impennis (great auk). RNAcentral describes it as "partial tRNA-Val". Lineage: Eukaryota; Metazoa; Chordata; Aves; Charadriiformes; Laridae. The record is from RNAcentral.
UGAAAGAUAUCUGACAUACCAGAUCGUCUUGA